Molecule: RNA transcript, 13513 nt
Organism: Pseudopipra pipra
Lineage: Eukaryota; Metazoa; Chordata; Aves; Passeriformes; Pipridae
Gene: RALGAPA2
Gene name: Ral GTPase activating protein catalytic subunit alpha 2
Exons: 41
Source: RefSeq, a predicted model, not a curated record
GGGGGAGCGGCGCGUGCGGGGAGCGCCCGGGCGGGGAGCGCCCGGCAUCCAUCCCCCGUGUCCCCCGCAUCCCCCGUCCUUCUGGCCGGCCCGCCGCGAUGUUCUCCAGGAAGGGCCACGCCGACGUCAGGAAAUCCACGCAGAAGGCGCUGGACCCGAAGCGGGACGUGCUGACCCGGCUGAAGCAUCUCCGCGCGCUGCUGGAUAUUGUGGAUGGAAGUGACCUGAAGCAAUUUUUUGAUAAUAAUUAUUCUCAAAUUUAUUUUAUAUUCUAUGAAAACUUCAUAACACUGGAAAAUAGCUUGAAACAAAAAGGGAAUAAAUCACAAAGGGAGGAGCUGGACUCCAUCCUCUUUCUUUUUGAAAAAAUAUUGCAGCUACUGCCUGAGAGGAUUUUUUAUCGAUGGCAUUUUCGCAGUAUAGGGUCAAUUCUGAAGAAACUUUUGCACACUGGAAAUUCUCUCAAGAUAAGAUGUGAAGGAAUCCGGCUGUUCCUGCUCUGGCUCCAAGCCCUGCAGACGAACUGUGGGGAGGAGCAGAUCCUGCUGUUCGCCUGCCUCGUGCCCGGCUUCCCCCCGCUGGCGUCCUCACGGGGCCCCUGCACCCUGGAGAGCCUCCUCAGCCCUCCCUGCCCGCCCGACGCUAAGAUUUUUCCAGAGGAAAUAACCCCGCUUUUGCCAGCUGUCUCUGGAGAGAAAAUUGCUGAAGACCAAACCUGCUAUUUUCUUCAGCUCCUGUUAAAAUAUAUGGUAAUCCAGAGCUGGCUUUGCCCCUCCCCUGGAAGAAGCUGGCUCCUGCACUUUAUUAGUCUUGGUUUUGAAAGGAAAAUCAUCCCAAAGGCUGCAAGCUUGGAGUGGAAAAACAAGGAGAACCAAGACACUGGGUUUAAGUUUCUCUUUACCUUGUUUAGAAAAUACUAUCUUCCUCACUUGUUUCCAUCUUUUACAAAGCUAACCAACCUCUACAAACCUGUGCUUGAUAUUCCUGAUAUCAGGCCAAGGCCAGUGUAUGUCACUGCAACACGAAACAAUGAAAGUGUCUAUAGCACAAAAAUCCCGUAUAUGGCAGCUCGAGUUGUUUUUAUUAAGUGGCUUGUUACCUUCUUCCUUGAAAAGAAAUACUUAACUGCUGUUCAGAACACAAAAAAUGGAGGAGAAGUGCUCCCUAAAAUUAUUCAGACGGUGGGGGUGAGCCAGGACAAGGCGGCGGAGCUGGAGGGCGGCGCGGCGCAGGAGCAGGACGGGAGCCACUCCAACAGCAGCACCCUGUCCGACAGGAGGCUCAGCAGCUCCAGCCUGUGCAGCGUGGACGAGCAGCACCGCGGCGUCUACGACAUGGUGCAGAGGAUCCUGCUCUCCACCCGCGGCUACGUCAACUUCGUCAACGAGGUCUUCCGACAGGCUUUUUUGUUGCCACCUUCUGAUGUAUCGGCAACACGGAAAGUGGUGAAGGUGUAUCAGAAGUGGAUACUGCAAGAGAAGCCCGUGUUCAUGGAGGAGCCAGACAAAAAGGAGGACAGCCAGGAUGCUGUUGUCCACCUGGAAGACUCCUCAGUGCAAACAGAUGGUAAACAUCUUUCCUCGGAGCACUCCGGGCACAAGCGCUCCUCCAGCUGGGGCAGGACGUACUCCUUCACCAGCGCUGUGAGCAGGGGGUGUGUGCUGGAAGAUGAGGACAGAGAUGUGAAAGCUGGAGCCCAGGCUGCAUUACAGGUGUUCCUGACGAACUCGGCGAAUGUUUUCCUGUUGGAGCCGUGCACUGAGGUCCCGGUGCUGCUGAAGGAGCAAGUGGAUGCUUGCAAAGCUGUUCUCAGUAUCUUCAGGCGCAUGAUAAUGGAGCUGUCAAUGAAUAAGAAGACAUGGGAACAGAUGCUACAGAUACUCCUCAGAAUAACAGAAGCUGUGAUGCAGAAGCCGAAAGAAAACCAGCCAAAGGACACAUUUGCCCAGAGCAUGGCUGGGUUGCUGUUCCGAACCCUCAUUGUGGCCUGGAUCCGAGCAAACCUGAGUGUUUACAUCUCUCGGGAGCUGUGGGAUGAGCUGCUCAGUGUCCUGUCCUCCCUGACGGACUGGGAGGAGCUCAUCCACGAGUGGGCCAACAUCAUGGACUCCCUGACAGCAGUGCUGGCCAGGACCGUGUACGGCGUGGAAAUGACCAACCUCCCCUUGGACAAGCUCAGUGAGCAGAAGGAGAAAAAGCAGAGGGGGAAAGGUGGCAUUUUAGAGCCUCAGAAGACAGCAGUAGUGGGAAGAUCUUUUUCAUUAAGCUGGAAGAGUCAUCCUGAAGUCGUGGAGCCGAUGAGAUUCAGAAGUGCUACAACCUCUGGGGCCCCUGGAGUCGAGAAAGCCCGAAAUAUUGUUCGUCAGAGAGCGACAGCUAAGCGAAGCCAGUCUAUCAGCAACUGUGUCCAUCUUUAUGAGGCUUUGCCAGCUACUAAAAGUGUACCUCUUCUGCUUCACACUGUGAGCUCUCUCUUCCCUGGUCUCUCUUACACUUCUUGCUCUCACAGACUGUCAGAAGUUGAAGAAUCUCAACAGCUGGAAAAUUCAGAAGGAACAGAAGCUGUGGGCCCGUUUGCAGACCAAGAGCAGCAGCUGACUCGAAGUAGCAGCACUUCAGAUAUUGCAGAUCAGAUUCCAUCUGAUUUUUUUCAAGGUAAAAAGGCUGGAAGUUCUCAUAAUUCAACUUCAGACUCCAAAUCAGUUCAGGAAAACAAGGGGCAUGCAAAGAAGGAGGAUGAAGCUGAGCAAGUGCUAAUACGAAGGAGCAGUAGUACAGCUGAAUUAGAUCUGAAAGCAGACUUUCAGCCACCCCAGGGGAAUUACAGAGACAGAGAAAAAAGUGAGAGCGUGAGCAGCGACGCGUCCCUGGGCUGCGGGGCCGACGUGGACAUGGCGCUGCUGCCCUGGCAGGCGGCCGAGGACGACCCCGACCCCGCCGCGGGCACAGAGCUGUGUGUGGAUCCCACUGCCCCGCGCUGGCUGCCCCUCAGCCCCUCGGAGCCUGCCAACCUCACAGACAGUAGUGAAUUCCUUGCUGAUGACUGCAGUAUAAUUGCUGGUGGAAGCCUUAUUGGUUGGCAUCCUGAUUCUGCUGCUGUGUUAUGGAGGAGGAUCUUGGGAAUUCUUGGAGAUGUGAACAAGAUACAGUCACCUAAAAUCCAUGCAAAAGUUUUUGGAUACCUUUACGAGCUGUGGUAUAAACUUGCAAAGAUAAGGGACAACCUCGCUAUCAGUGUGGACAAUCAGUCGACUCCCUCUCCUCCCAUCCUAAUCCCUCCUCUCAGGAUAUUUGCAUCGUGGCUGUUCAAGGCAGCCACGCUGCCCAGCGAGUACAAGGAGGGCAAGCUGCAGGCCUUCCGGCUGCUCUGUGCCAUGAUGACCCGGCGCCAGGACGUGCUGCCCAACUCCGACUUCCUCGUCCACUUCUACUUCGUGAUGCACCUCGGCUUGACCAGCGAGGACCAGGAUAUCCUGAACACCGUCAUAAAGCACUGCCCCCCCUGGUUUUUCUUCCUGGGCCUGCCUGGGUUCACGAUGCUGAUCGGGGACUUCGUGGCGGCGGCGGCGAGGGUGCUGCGCGCGGACACGCUGGAGGCUCCCCGUUCUGAAGCUCACACCAUCCUUGGUGCUCUCGUGUGUUUUCCAAAUACCUACCAAGAAAUCCCACGGUUGGGGCCCAUUUCAGAAGCCAGUGAGAUCAGCACAGGAACUGCAGAUGUGAAGUGUUGCCUCAUAAAUAUUUUAUUGAAGAAUGCUACAGAGGAGCCAAGUGAAGCUGCAAGGUGCAUAGCCAUCUGUGGCCUGGGAGUGUGGAUCUGUGAGGAGCUCACGCAGUGCACAAACCAUCCCCACGUGAAGAAGGCCAUCAAUGUCAUAGGUGUGACACUGAAGUUUUCCAAUAAGGUGGUAGCUCAGGUAGCCUGUGAUGUUCUUCAGCUGCUGGUGUCUUACUGGCAAAAGCUUCAGGAGUACGAAUCCUCCCUGUGCCGGAAAAUCACUGAAAUCCUCGUGGCCACCAUUGCCUUCCUUUUGCCGAGUGCCGAGUACUCCUCCGUGGAGGCGGAUAAGAAGUUCAUAGUGUCCCUGCUGCUGUGCCUGCUGGAUUGGUGCAUGGCACUGCCCAUGAAAAUGCUGCUGGAGCCCGUGUCUGCUGGUGCCGUGGAAGAUCAGCACGCAUCCAGAGCUCCUUUACUGGACUACAUUUACAGAGUCCUGCACUGCUGUGUGAACGGCUCCAGCACGUACACGCAGCAAAGCCACUACGUGCUGAGCCUGGCCGACCUCUCCUCCUAUGACUACGACCCCUUUUUGCCACUGGGGAACGUCAGGAGCUCGGAGCCAGCCCAGUGCCACUCCUCCACAGAUUUGGGCAACCUGCUCACUGUUGCUGAGGAGAAAAGGAGGAGGAAUUUAGAAUUGAUACCUCUGACAGCGCGGAUGGUGAUGACUCACCUGGUGAAUCACCUGAGCCACUACCCGCUCAGCGGAGGCCCUGCCAUUCUCCACAGCCUCCUCAGUGAGAACCAUGACAACUCCUAUGUGGAGUCCUCUGAGCUGUCCUCGGAAGUCUUCCGGAGCCCCAACCUGCAGCUCUUUGUGUUCAAUGACAGCACUCUCAUAUCUUACCUCCAAAUCCCUGCAGAGAAGAGGGCGGGUGCUGAGCCAGCAGCAGCCCCCUCGGACGUCAGGGUGAUCGUCAGGGAUAUCUCAGGGAAGUACUCUUGGGAUGGCCGGAUACUGUACGGCCCUUUGGAGGGCUGCCUUCCUCAGCAGAGCACCACCAACACCUUUGUGAUCUCCAGCAACCCCGAGCACCACUUCGCUUCCCAGAACGACACUUCCCAGGCAGAGGAAGGAGAAGAUGCUCUCGACCAGUUGCUGGAGAAGAUCGGUGCCACCAGCCCCGAGUGCCUUCUGCACCCCCAGCGCAAGCUGAACGAGCCGGCGCCGCCGCCCUGCGGGAUGAGCUCCGAGCAGGAGCGGGCCAUCAUGGAGGCCCUGAUGAGGCAGAGUGCCCAGGAAAGGGAGUUCAUCCUGAAAUGCAGCUCUGACUGCAGCAUGAAGGUGGCCCGCCAGGAACCACCACGCCCUGCUGAGCCUCAGGCCUCCUUUUAUUUCUGUCGGCUGUUGCUGAACGACUUGGGAAUGAACUCCUGGGAUAGAAGAAAAAGCUUUCACUUGCUUAAGAAAAAUUCAAAAUUGCUGCGAGAACUGAAAAAUCUGGAUUCCCGCCAAUGCCGUGAGACUCACAAGAUCGCCGUGUUCUACAUCGCCGAGGGACAGGAGGACAAGUGCUCCAUCCUGGCCAACGCCAGGGGAAGCCAGGCAUAUGAAGAUUUUGUAGCAGGACUGGGCUGGGAGGUGGAUCUCUCCACGCACGGGGGUUUCAUGGGCGGCCUGCAGCGCAAUGGCAGCACAGGACAAACUGCUCCCUACUACGCUACCUCCACCGUGGAGAUCAUCUUCCACGUGUCCACCAGGAUGCCCUCGGAUUCGGACGAUUCGCUGACCAAAAAGCUCCGUCACUUGGGAAAUGAUGAGGUUCACAUCGUCUGGUCUGAGCACACCCGCAACUACCGCAGGGGCAUCAUCCCCACGGACUUCGGGGAUGUUCUCAUUGUCAUCUACCCCAUGAAGAACCACAUGUUUUUCAUAGAGAUCAUGAAGAAACCAGAGGUGCCAUUUUUCGGCCCUCUCUUCGACGGAGCGAUCGUGACCGCGAAGCUGCUGCCGAGCCUGAUCUGUGCCACGUGCAUCAACGCCAGCAGAGCCGUCAAGUCACUCAUCCCGCUCUACCAGAGCUUCUACGAGGAGAGAGCUCUGUACCUCGAAGCCAUCAUCCAGAACCACAAAGAGGUGAUGACGUUUGAGGAUUUUGCCGCUCAGGUCUUUUCUCCCUCUCCCAGCUACUCCCUCGGUGGAACUGGUGAGUCUCUGCACGUUAUUCUUCUCUGUAGCCCCAAGAAGCACUUGAGCAGCAGAUGUACACCUGUUUUUUGUAGAUAAAUGCUUGCAAAUUUAAGAAGACCAUUCUUCCCCUGAAUCAACUAAUGAAUAUCAAAAGGAAUGAUGACAUUCAUUUUAAUUUGUUUUGCAUCAGAGCUAUUCAGUCUGCUCCUUUCUUCAGCUAUCCUGUUAACCCCCGACUCCGGCGAGGUUAAUGAACUUUCUUGCAGUGAUGGGCUCCAGCUCAUUCAGGACUCCGGGUUCUUGCUGAGCUGGGAAUAUGUUGUUCAAAAGCGAGGCCUGAAUUGGGGCUCACUUAUCAAAAAUAGUUCCUCGCAGGGGAAGCUGCUGCUAAUGCUAAAUGGGGAUUAUGCUGCUGAGCUACCAGGGUCAGGGAUUAAUGCCCAAGAAACGCAGGAACGGGGUGCUGUUAGGGAAUCACAGCGGCGGGCGGGAUGCGGGCGCGUCCCUUCAAUGCAGACAAGCACACUGCAGGCUGCCCUCCAGCACCUGGCCUGGAGCCUCUUUGGGGGCUUUAAUGGAUGUGUGGAUAUAUGUGUGUGUGGGGGGGGUGUAUACACACACAUCAGUGCUCAUCAUUCAUCAUCCCUCCUGAGAGGUGACAACGCAGUGCCAAACUCUGGGCAUUUAUUCCUCGUGUGCCCUGUGGAGAUUUAGGUUAGUGUGUGGUCAGUGAGGUACCAAUCGCUGCCUGGCUGGUUCAUUGAGUUUAAGUGAACCUCUUCUGAAAGGGAUCUUUUGCUCUGAAAUGCAGAUUUCUAGUGCCCUCAAGAUGUGUUUUUUCCAGCCUCCAGAAAGUAUCUCGUCACCGUCACCGAGUGCUGGACUCUCUAACAAAGAUUCCUUAAUCCAUUGUUGACACUCAUAGGGUGACACAGGCACUUUCUAAUCAUUCCCUGCUUCUCUUUUGGAUUGCUGAAUAGAUUAUUUCCAACUUGUACAAACGUUGCGGGACAUCUGCUCUAUUUCUCUUUAGCCCGACUUGUUAGCAGAUAUCUUCCAUCUAAACGAAACAUUGAAGGAAGAAAUUAAAUUUGCUAGAAUAAAUCACUUAGGAAUAAAACCAGCCGUGCAGCAUUGUCUAGCGUUCCUGGCUCCGGUCCUGGCGCGCUCGGAGCUUUGUGAGGAGAUAAGAGGGCUGUGCGGGCCGGGCAGUGGUGGCCAGGAGCAGCAGGCAGAAGGCUUUGGAGAUAAGCGCUGGCAGGAGGGGAGGGAGCCGGGGCCAUUUACAUAAUCGCGCCUCUGCGUCCUGGAGAGGCGUCAGGGAACACGGGAUGGAUCUAUUGAUCUCUGCUGAACUGGAAUACUAAACAACGCUAGGAAAGCUUAUAACUUAAAGCUUUGAUUAAUGUUUCCUACAUUAAAAAGUAGAACAGCUGUGCAUUAAAUUCUUUUAUACACUCUGCCAAAAGUCUGAGACAAAAAAAUGGCCCAUUUCAAUAGGAGCGCAGCGCGUGCCCAGGGUUGGUUGGUAGCACUUGAAUCGUUUAUCUGUUGACAUAUCAGCAAAUAGAAACGUAGAUAUAUUGAUCUAUUUUAAAUGUUUUGCUCUGUGCAUAAUUGUGUCUCAUUUUCAUGUUUUUUAGAGCACGCAGUGCUCUGGUUGUGUACAAAUGUGGUCUGACGGGGCAGAUCCCUCGGCAGUGCACUCUCUGAAGGCUGGGAUAUGCUGUGUGUGUGCCAGACCUGGUUAAAGUGUUUCCCAGUAGCUGAGGUUUUCAGAGCACUGUUAAAUCAUGAGUAGCCUGGAUGUGGUUUUAUAAUUUCAUUAUUUUAAUUGCUUUUAAUUGUAAAACCUGCCCCAGUCAGGUCCCAGUUUUUGGACUUCUGAACCUCGGAAUUAAUUUCUCGCUCAUGAACUGGAGGCUGGCCAUGACUUCUGGUGUCAGAAUCUCUGCUUCAGAGAGUCUCCUCACGUUACCUACUGAUUCACCUGCAUAUUUAGUCAGUGAUGAGCAAGGGCAGUGUCAGCCACGGCCAUCGGGAUGUGUUUUCCAUCAGAUGCUCCCUGGCAGUUGGAAGGGAGGCUGGAUGCAGCCCUGGCAGCUCGGGAGCUGUUUCCCAGCAGGCAGCCUGUGCCACAGGCAGGCAGUCCUGCUCCAGGCAUAGACCCGCCUGUCUAACACCUGCAGGAAUCACCUGUGUGCUGCUUAGGAUGCAUGGCAUUUUUCUCCAUGUAAAAAGGGAAUUUCUAUUCUGAAAUCAGGGAGCAAUAAAUGAAAAAAAAAAUUUCCCUGAGAAGGUAGUCAGGUACUGGCACAGGCUGCCCAGGAAGGUGCUGGAGUCACUGCCUCUAAAGGUGUUCAGAAGGUGUCUGAAUGUGGCACUUGGGGACGUGGUUUAGGGGUGAUGAUGGUGGUGCUGGGUUGGUAGCUGGAUUUGAUGAUCUUGAAGAUCUCUCCCAGCCUUGAUGAUUCUGUGGGAUUCAUGGAGCUGGCACAGGUGACAAGCCAGCUGGUGCUGCUAACCCUGCCGAGUGUAAACUCCUCAGGUAAAUUUAAGAUUAAUUCUCAUCUGAUCUGAUUCUUAAUGCCACUCAAGUGUGGUCCUGUCAGCGCUGCGAAUACACGUGUGCAGCAGAAAGGUCAAGGAGUAAGUGUGCUUUUUAUUAAAAUGAAGCUUGUUCUCAGUAGUCAUAAGAAGAAAUCAGGACCAUUAAAUGAAUUGAACACGGAGCUCUCGCUGACACACAUCACUGGGGUGUUGCUAACCAGGAUCUAAUGAUUUGAACUGCAUGUUUUUGCAUUUUCUGAUGCUGCCCCGGGGGAUGCAUCCCCCAGACUCAGGUCGGAUGUGGGUUUCCUGCCCUGGAUUAGUCUGCCUGUCACCAACAGUCUUGUAGGUGCUGCAUUUUCUGCAGGAAAAUCAUCCAGUUGAUCUCCUUUGCUGUUUCCAGGCGCGGAGCCUUAAACUCCCUGUGCAGCUCACAGAUAGCCCUGGCUAUUGCAGGAUCACAGAGAGCCCUGGCUAUUGCAGGAUCACAGAGAGCCCUGGCUAUUGCAGGAUCACAGAGAGCUCUGGCUAUUGCAGGAUCACAGAGAGCCCUGGCUAUUGCAGGAUCACAGAGAGCCCUGGCUAUUGCAGGAUCACAGAGAGCCCUGGCUAUUGCAGGAUCACAGAGAGCCCUGGCUAUUGCAGGAUCACAGAGAGCCCUGGCUAUUGCAGGAUCACAGAGAGCCCUGGCUAUCUUCAGCGCUGAAAGCAGCCGGGUAGGCAGAAUGGCCAUCCCUGAACUCAUUUAGGGGAUGUGCAGAUUAGGAACAAAAGCUGGGAAUACGGCCCUUUGUUGUUAAACUGGUGCAUUACAUGCUGUAUUUUAAUUAGGCUGGGUCUGAGAGGCAGCCCAGGAAAUCCUCCAUAAUCCAACACUAUUGAAUUAUUCUCAUCCUUUCCCUCUGCAGAUUUCUCUCCUUUUAGAGGAUGGGCUUUAAGCUGCUGUUCUUGCUCCCUCAGCCAAAACCAGAAAGAGUUAUUCAACAAAACACUUGUGUGUUCUUUAAAAAAAUGGUGAAGCUGAAGCGGGCACACACAGAUAGAGCAGCGCCCCAACUUUGCCUCUGUGGCUCAAAGGGCUGCCUUGGGCUUGGGGGUUUUUUGGUGUAAGAUCAGCAGCCAGAAGCGUUGUGUUAUCCCUUAGGAAGUGGAAGUGGCCAGGUAUUCCAGGGGAACUGCCUAAUCAUAGCUUGCUCACCAUGGGAGGAUUCUGUAUGAGGGGUUUGUGCUGGCAGGGCAGGUUUCUGUUUGAAGGGAGCCCCGGAGCUGCAGCGCUGCCGUUGGCACUCCAGGGGUUAAUGGGAACGGGCACACUUGACUGCUGAGAGGACUGAUCUAAUCACUGCCAUAUCCAAGUGCAUCUGUUCACCAUGAGGUCAUUCUUGUGCAUGCUAAUGACUUGGAAAAUAAAGCACAAUGCUCAACGUUAUCAGGGAGGAUAUAGUGUAAAUCUUGGCUUUUUUAGUUGCUAAUGGAUAUUGUGGAAUGGGCAGGCAAAGCAUCCCGGAUUCUUGUGUUCCAGCUUAAUGUUUUUAAAGCAUCCUUUUCAGUGGAGUGUCAGGAAAACUGUGCUGGAAAACUCAGACAUGUGGUAUCUGUUGAUAAAUGGAUUCUUUAAUGAAUAUUAUGGCAUUGCCCAGGAGCAACACUUGAGUUGAGGAACUAUAGAGGUUUUCAGCAUUCCCUGGUUUUAAAGCCUCGGGAGCCUGCCUGCUGAUUUACAUAAAACCGAGAUUUUGCAGGCUUUUUGUUGUAAAGGUGACACAUGCUUUUCUUUUGUCUCCAGACUUUUACAUGCAUAAAGUUCCUGUACUACAAGGAACCAGAUCUGGUUUAUUUUAAACCGAUUUUUGGUCAGUGCUGAGCUUUAUCUUUCCCACUUUAAAGCGAAAGGAAUAUUUCAAUUUGACAUCUAGAUUUAAAAUGUAUUUUUGACAGAAACAAAAACAAACCCAGAGUAACUAUUGCAUUAACCAGACUGAUGCUCCCUUGUAACGAUGAGCCAGGAUUCCUUUUGCUUUGGUGUGGUUUUUCUGGUUUUGUUUUUUACUUCUUUGGUUUUUUUGUGCUUUUAUCUUUUUCCUUGAAAAAAGGUGUUUUCCUUGUAGGGUGUUUUGUCAGAUCUGUGUACAGGUGGAACAAAAGUCUCUCUGGGUUCUGCAUAUAUAAUAUUUCUGCCUGUUUUGGGGAAUAGUAAAAAAACACACAUCUGAAAGGGAGUAGCUGUGCCACGAUACCCCAGCACGUGCGGCAUGUGCCGAGGUCAGAUCUGAUCCGUGUGUCAGUGUUGCCUGAAACGGAACAAUUAAUUUCUAGUACCUGGGACUCAGGAAAUUCCCGACUGUCCUGGCUGCUCGGAGCCAUGGCUCAGCUACUGCCGCCAGGAGAGGAGGCAGCGCUGGCACUGUCUGCCAGGGGCAGCUGUGGGCUCCAUCCUCCGUGCCCAGCCCUCCCUGGUCUGGGACGGGUCCCUCCGAUGUGGGAGGAAGGACAGGGAGUUGAGUCGUUAGCACGGAGCCCGUGCUCAGCAGGUGAGAUGGAACUCGGGUGCUGCCGUGGUGGAGGUUGUCCAGGCAGUGAACAAAGAGGAAAAGCUGAGGGAGGUGGAGCAGGGGAGCCAGAAGAGUUACCACAGGAGGCAGGAUUUGGCUUUCUCUUCUCCUCCUUCCCUGUGAGUAUUCAGGAGGAGGUGCAGGGACCUGUCUGGCUUUCCCUCUCUGUUUAAUCCAGGUAGCUCCACAUCCUGAGCAGACUGGAGCCUCUGUCCCAGCCACUGCUGGGCUGCCCUCGGGGGCAGAUUUGGGAGCUGCUCCUUGCCCCUGUGCUCUCUGUUACCAGUGUUCCCUCCAUGGCUUUCCUUCCUCCACAGAGCUGCCACCUUAGUGUCCCUGUGAGGGGCAGGAAUGGUCUGGCAUUAAACAGAGCAGUGUCACAGUUACCACGAAUUGUUGGGGCAGCAGCUCUGUCCCCCCGUAGCUCCUGUGGCUGAACAGGCCUGGCUCCGGAGGGUCUGGAUCCCUGCAGAGCCCUAGGGAAGUUGCAUCCCUCCUUUGCAGCUCCCUGCAAAGCAGCGGCCGCCUGCUCUGGGCACAGGGGUCAUUCUCCCUGUGCCGACCUGUCCCCGAGGCAGGGCAGGUGCUGGAGCUGCUUCUCCCUCAAGCCUGGCGUUCCCUCGGGAUCUCCAGCAGGGAAGGGGCACAUUAGGGCUCUCAGCCUGGGCCCCUGCCUUUUCCAUGUAAUUGAUUGGCUCAGAGGGAGCUCCCCCAGCUACGAUCUCCGGGAGAGGAGGCAGAGAGAGAGGGUUUCUCCAAGCAAUCAGUGCUGGGAUGGGAGAAAAUAUGAGCUUGACAGGCCCAUCUCUCCUGCCGGGUGACAGCUCCAGCUGCUCGAGCUGUCAGCUCAGAGAAGGCUCCGGGCAAUGUGGCCCCUUUGCAUUUUCCCUCUGCACUGAGGCACCGGCUCGGUGGCCAUGGAGAGCCAGAGCAGAGCUGGAGCAGAGCUGUCCUGUGGCCGUGGGCCAGGGGCUUGGGCUGCCCCACCUGUGACACCCCCAAAACCCCCAACGCUCCCCCUGGCUGAAGUUGAGGCCAAUCCGUGCAGAACUAAUUAGCGGCUGCUCCAAGUCCUGACUAAGUGAACUUCGAUGUGUACAUUUAGGGUUUAUUUCCAAAUCCCUCAAACCGUCAAGGCUGGGCCUGUGACAGUGCCAGGCACUCCCUCCUGGAAACUGUGAAUGCUGUUUUAGGGGUGAUUCUGCCCCUGAUUAACCUGUAGUUUGAGAUUCUCUUACUGCUUCACUUAGAGCUUUCCAAGGCACUGCAGGAUGUGUUUGAUUAGCACAGCCACUGCUUCAGUUAUCGAUGAUUUCUUCCACGCAGGCUCAGGAUGCUGCUUACAGUGUACUUUGAGCCUGUUCUUGGAAGUGGGAAGCAGGAACACCGGGCAGAUUUACUACAGUGAUUCUCUCUGGAAUUUUCUGACCUUCACAUUUACUAGGAAGGAAAACAAAGAUUUCCAGAGCCCUGUCCUGGUUGACAGGUUAAUGGGGGGCUGGAACAGGUCACAGCCCGUGUGACAACUUCAUGGGUCUUCUCAAAUACAAGGCUUUGGGAUCCUUACAGGUCAUGGAGACCCACCCUUGCUUUCAGAGGUGUUCAGCUACUUCAGGAGAGAAAUGGCUGAAAGGUCAUUCCUAGAGCACCUACCCUGGCAAGGCAGGGCAUGAGAAAUGAGGUUUGUUCUCUCUGGUGGAUUUGAGAUGCAAUAAGCCAUUUCUCUCUAGUUUCCCACAAAACAAUUUCAUUUAAAGUGUGUUUUUAUCUAUAUUCCUAACUCUAUUUCUAAUCCCCUCCUGCAAAGAACUUAUUUUAAAAUCUUAAGCCUCCCUCACCAGGCCUCACCUGUAAGAGGCUCUACACUGCUCAUUUCCUGGGGUUUUAACCUGCCUGCAGUGUCCCAGUGGUUUAGGUCUCUGUGAAGCCUCAAAUCUUACACAGUUUGAAAUGGUGUGACCAGCAAUGGUGCUGGAGGUGGAGCCGAGGCAGCUGCACCCACCGUCCCAUGGCAGCUCGUUUGGCAAAAGCUGAAGUGCAAUGGUUAUUCAUUCCCAUUUUUGCCAGCAUUCCCUCCCUUGACUGUUUCAAUCCACAGACCCGAGAAGGAAGCGUGUGGGUCCCCGAGGGCUGAGGGGAACUCUCCUUCCUGAGCUGCCCUUCUGCUGGUGCCCAGCGUGUGCCGGUGUGUGCCGUGCCAGGCUGCCGUUGGCGCAGCGGGUCCCGGGUGUGCUGCUCCUGCACUGACACGGUUUUGUGUUCUCUCCCUUUAGAUUAGAGUGUGUAACGCUCUCGUUAAUGGCCGCAGGCUGCCUCACCACAAGUGCAAGCGCUGACCUCACUGUCACCAUCGGCAUCGAGCUGGCGGAGCCGCCCUCGCCCACGCUGCCACGUGCCUCCAGGAGCAGAGUCUCCGGGAAGCUCCGCCGCUCCGCCAGCGCCCUCAGCAAGGCUUCCAGCUGAGCUCCGGGACACAGAGCUCCGGCCAGGGGAGCGACA